Molecule: ribosomal RNA, 230 nt
Filed under: uncultured Alicycliphilus sp.
Lineage: Bacteria; Pseudomonadati; Pseudomonadota; Betaproteobacteria; Burkholderiales; Comamonadaceae
Description: partial 16S ribosomal RNA
Rfam family: Bacterial small subunit ribosomal RNA
Source: RNAcentral
AGCAGCUCACUGGGUGUAAAGCGUGCGCAGGCGGUUUUGUAAGACAGAGGUGAAAUCCCCGGGCUCAACCUGGGAACUGCCUUUGUGACUGCAAGGCUGGAGUGCGGCAGAGGGGGAUGGAAUUCCGCGUGUAGCAGUGAAAUGCGUAGAUAUGCGGAGGAACACCGAUGGCGAAGGCAAUCCCCUGGGCCUGCACUGACGCUCAUGCACGAAAACGUGGGGAGCAAACA